This is a long non-coding RNA of Cynoglossus semilaevis (tongue sole), 1002 nucleotides long. RefSeq lists it as uncharacterized. The record is from RefSeq and is a predicted model, not a curated record. Lineage: Eukaryota; Metazoa; Chordata; Actinopteri; Pleuronectiformes; Cynoglossidae. The transcript has 4 exons.
ACUGUGGGCACAUGGAAACACAGGUCACAUGGUCAUAGAAGGGUAAAGACGUGACCAGGAUAGAGACAAUAUCUGGUCAAUAAUAAUGCAGCUGGGUCUGGGAUGGAUGCUGCUGACACAUUCAAACAACCAUGUGCAGUAAAGAUGAAGGGAUUUUAAAGGAAUUACAUUUAUUGACCACAUCGACUCCAUGUCAACUUUUCUCUAGUAAUCUAGUGCUCUUUUGUCGUUAGCUAGCUAAGUGGAAGUUUAGGGUGAUGUGUAAAAUUGAUUUUAGUAAAUAAUCAGUAAAUAAUCCGGCACACGCAGCAGACGAUGCAAUACAGUCUUCUUAUAGAACAUAAGGUAUAUAUAGUGUUGAUUUUAUUUGGAACAAUAAUAAAAUUAUAUGAAAUGUAUUUAAUUUAAAUAAGCUGUUUUUGUACUAAGAGUUGUUGAAUUUUUAUUCAUUUCAUGCAGAUUUUUGGUCGACCACUGGGUGGCGCUGCGGCCUGUAUUGAGUUUGAGAUGAGCGCCAACUGUGUGGGGAAACUGUGACGUGACUUCCCGUUUUUAUUCUGUGUUGAGCCAUGUUCAGAAGCUGUGAAACCUGUGUUCAGGGCGCUGGCGAUGCCCUGCUGGCACAGGAGCUGAAGGCUGGCCACCCUGUGUUCCACACGCACCACGUACAGGGCUGGACCGCAGGCGAGGAACAGACGAGAGUCUCGAUGACCCCAGCAGAUGGUGGUGAUGGGCCUCUGGAAAAACACAUUCCAGAACUUAACCAGGGCGUUUCUCGUGAUGGAUGCACAAACUGAGUCGGCAGGAAGCCCAUGUUUCUCCAUACCGGCCACAGCCAGCAGAUCUCCCUGUGAACACCACUGGGCCUCAACAUCUAAGGAGAUUUGGAAAUUUACAAAGGUAUCAGUUCUCACCUGAGCUCCUCUAUCGUUCACCAGCUCCACAGACCAUCUGCCUUCAUACUGGAUCCACACAAAAAUCCCUCCUUCCAUAUCACAGGUG